GGGAAGAUAUGCAGGGCGCACGGCGGAUGCCUUGGCGCAGGGAGACGACGAAGGGCGCGGCAAGCCGCGAUAGUCCCUGGGGAGGCGCACACGGCCUGAGAUCCAGGGGUACCCGAAUGGGAGAACCCGGCGGGAGCAGUCCCGUCAUCCCCCCUCUGAACUCAUAGGAGGGGGGAGGGCAACCCGGGGAACUGAAACAUCUAAGUACCCGGAGGAAGAGAAAUCAACAUCGAGAUCCCCCGAGUAGCGGCGAGCGAAAGGGGGCCUAGGGCAAACCGGUGAGCGCACGCGGGCGGCAGCCUUCGCGCCACCGGGGUUGCGGGGCGGACCAUCCGGGACCUGCCGGUCCCGGCGGCCGUCCGGCGAGGCGAGCGGAACGGCAUGGGAAGGCCGGCCGCAGCGGGUUAGAGCCCCGUACGCGAAGCCUCGACCGGAGACCGGCGUCCGUUCCCCGAGUAGGGCCGGGCACGGGGUACCCGGUCCGAAGCUGGGUGGACCACCAUCCAACCCUGAACACUCCCCUGCGACCGAUAGCGCACUAGUACCGUGAGGGAAAGGUGAAAAGCACCCCGGGAGGGGAGUGAAACAGCACCUGAAACCGUGCGCCCGCGAGCAGUCGGAGCAGACUUGUUCUGUGACGGCGUGCCUUUUGUAGAAUGAGCCAGCGAGCCACCGGUGCGGGGCGAGGUUAAGCUUGGAAGCGAGCCGCAGCGAAAGCGAGUCCGAACAGGGCGACGAGUCCCGCGCCGUGGGCGCGAAGCCGGGUGAGCUAUCCCUGGGCAGGCUGAAGCGGGGGUAAGACCCCGUGGAGGGCCGAACGCACGUCGGUUGAAAACGGCGGCGAUGACCUGGGGAUAGGGGUGAAAGGCCAAUCAAACCCGGAGAUAUCUCGUUCUCCCCGAAAUAGCUUUAGGGCUAGCGUCGGGGGUUCACCGCAGGAGGUAGAGCACCGGACAGGUGAGGGGGCUUCGCCGCCUACCGAUCCCGACCGAACUCCGAAUGCCUGCGGCCCACACCCCGGCAGUCAGAGCAUGUGGGCUAAGCUGUGUGCUCGAGAGGGGAACAGCCCAGACCGCCCUCUAAGGCCCCCAAGUCCAUGUUGAGUGGCAAAGGAUGUCCGUCUGCGCAGACAGCCAGGAGGUUGGCUUAGAAGCAGCCACCCCUUCAAAGAGUGCGUAACAGCUCACUGGCCGAGUGGACGGGCGCCGACAAUACACGGGGCUAAACAUGGCGCCGAAGAGGCGGAUUCGCGCAGCACUGCGCGUCUGGUAGGGGAGCGUCCCGCGCGGGGCGAAGCGGAAGGGCGACCUUCCGUGGACCGCGCGGGAGCGAGGAUGCUGGCAUGAGUAGCGAGAGACGAGAGAGUAACUCGUCCGCCGUGAACCCGAGGUUUCCUGGGCGAGGCUAAUCCCCCCAGGGUCAGUCGGGGGCUAAGGCGAGGCCGGCAGGCGUAGCCGAAGCGCAGCAGGUGGACAUUCCUGCACCGCAGAUGAGCGUCACGACCGACGCGGCGACGGAUGGGGGUGGCUCGGCGGGGUUCUGGACGUCCCCGUGAUGGAGCGCGGCCCGCAGGGGAGGGAAGUCCCCCCUGCACGAGGGUUAGGCUCCGGACGAAGCGACUGAGCGAAGCGAGUGAGCCCGAGGUCCCUAGAAAAACCGCUAGGCAGCGAUUCUGCGCCCGUACCGCAAACCGACACAGGUGGGUGGGUAGAACAUACCGAGGCGAUCGGGUCAACCAUGGUCAAGGAACUCGGCACAAUGGCCCCGUAACCUAGGGAGAAGGGGUGCCCGCGCGUACGUGAACCGGCUUGCCCGGGGAGCGGAGGCGGGCCGCAGUGAAGAGGCCCAAGCGACUGUUUACCAAAAACACAGGACUCUGCAGAAGCCGCAAGGCGACGUAUAGGGUCUGACGCCUGCCCGGUGCCGGAAGGUCACGGGGAGGGGUUAGCUUUCCGCGAAGCCCCGAACCCAAGCCCCGGUAAACGGCGGCCGUAACUAUAACGGUCCUAAGGUAGCGAAAUUCCUUGUCGGGUAAGUUCCGACCUGCACGAAAGGCGCAACGACUUGGGCGCUGUCUCGACCGUGGACCCGGUGAAAUUGCACUGGUCGUGAAGAUGCGACCUACCCGCGGGAGGACGGAAAGACCCCGUGAACCUUCACUGCAGCUUGGCAUUGGCCGCUGCUCGGGAGUGUAGAGGAUAGGCGGGAGGCUGCGAUGCCGGGGCGCCAGCCCCGGCGGAGCCGACCUUGGAAUACCGCCCUCUCCCGUGCGGCGUCCUAACCCCCGGCCGUGAGCCGGCGGGGGGACCGUGCCAGGCGGGCAGUUUGACUGGGGCGGUCGCCUCCUAAAGGGUAACGGAGGCGCGCGAAGGUCCGCUCGGGACGGUCGGCAACCGUCCUCAAUGAGUGCAAGAGCGUAAGCGGGCUUGACUGCGAGGCCCACAAGCCGAGCAGGUGCGAAAGCAGGCUCUAGUGAUCCGGCGGCUCCGCGUGGGCGGGCCGUCGCUCAACGGAUAAAAGGUACUCCGGGGAUAACAGGCUGAUCUUGCCCAAGAGUCCACAUCGACGGCAAGGUUUGGCACCUCGAUGUCGGCUCAUCGCAUCCUGGGGCUGGAGCAGGUCCCAAGGGUACGGCUGUUCGCCGUUUAAAGCGGUACGCGAGCUGGGUUCAGAACGUCGUGAGACAGUUCGGUCCCUAUCCCCCGCGGGCGCAGGAGAAUCGAGGGAGGCUGCCCCUAGUACGAGAGGACCGGGGUGGACGGACCUCCGGUGCACCGGUUGUCGACCAACGGCAUGGCCGGGUAGCCGCGUCCGGCGCGGAUAACCGCUGAAGGCAUCUAAGCGGGAAGCCGUUCCCGAGAUCAGUUCUCCUUCCGGUAAGGGCCCAGGUAGAACACCUGGUCGACGGGCCGCAGGUGCAAGCCCCGCGAGGGGUUCAGCCGAGCGGUUCCGAUAGCCCGAGCUCUUACCCAC
Molecule: ribosomal RNA, 2973 nt
Filed under: Collinsella sp. An7
Lineage: Bacteria; Bacillati; Actinomycetota; Coriobacteriia; Coriobacteriales; Coriobacteriaceae
Description: bacterial LSU rRNA
Rfam family: Bacterial large subunit ribosomal RNA
Source: RNAcentral